UGGAGAAGUUUGAUCCUGGCUCAGGAUGAACGCUGGCGGCGUGCCUAAAACACGCAAGUCGAGCGAACAGACGAGGAGCUUGCUCCUUUGACGUUAGCGGCGGACGGGUGAGUAACACGUAGGUAACCUACCUAUAAGACUGGGAUAACUUCGGGAAACCGGAGCUAAUACCGGAUAAUAUUUCGAACCGCAUGGUUCGAUAGUGAAAGAUGGCUUUGCUAUCACUUAUAGAUGGACCUGCGCCGUAUUAGCUAGUUGGUAAGGUAACGGCUUACCAAGGCAACGAUACGUAGCCGACCUGAGAGGGUGAAACGACCACACUGGAACUGAGACACGGUCCAGACUCCUACGGGAGGCAGCAGUAGGGAAUCUUCCGCAAUGGGCGAAAGCCUGACGGAGCAACGCCGCGUGAGUGAUGAAGGUCUUCGGAUCGUAAAACUCUGUUAUUAGGGAAGAACAAACGUGUAAGUAACUGUGCACGUCUUGACGGUACCUAAUCAGAAAGCCACGGCUAACUACGUGCCAGCAGCCGCGGUA
Molecule: ribosomal RNA, 537 nt
Filed under: Staphylococcus sp. CW4
Lineage: Bacteria; Bacillati; Bacillota; Bacilli; Caryophanales; Staphylococcaceae
Description: bacterial SSU rRNA
Rfam family: Bacterial small subunit ribosomal RNA
Source: RNAcentral